This 381-nucleotide ribosomal RNA is filed under the name uncultured eukaryote. RNAcentral describes it as "SSU rRNA". It matches the Rfam family "Eukaryotic small subunit ribosomal RNA", at positions 587 to 972 of the family's 1831-position model. The record is from RNAcentral.
AGCUCCAAUAGCGUAUAUGAAAGUUGUUGCGGUUAAAAAGCUCGUACUUGGACUUCUGCCGAGGACGACCGGUCCGUCCUCCGGGUGAGUAUCUGGCUCGGCCUGGGCAUCUUCUUGGAGAACGUAGCUGCACUUGACUGUGUGGUGCGGUAUCCAGGACUUUUACUUUGAGGAAAUUAGAGUGUUUCAAGCAGGCACACGCCUUGAAUACAUCAGCAUGGAAUGAUAAGAUAGGACCUCGCUCCUAUUUUGUUGGUUUCUAGAGCUGAGGUAAUGAUUAAUAGGGAUAGUUGGGGGCAUUCGUAUUUAACUGUCAAAGGUGAAAUUCUUGGAUUUGUUAAAGACGGACUACUGCGAAAGCAUUUGCCAAGGAUGUUCUCA